GCCUGGCUAGCUCAGUUGGUAGAGCAUGAGACUCUUAAUCUCAUAGUUGUAGGUUCAAGCCCUAUGUUGGGCA
This is a non-coding RNA of Chelonia mydas (Green sea turtle), 73 nucleotides long. Lineage: Eukaryota; Metazoa; Chordata; Testudines; Cheloniidae. The record is from Rfam.